GAUGAACGCUGGCGGCGUGCCUAAUACAUGCAAGUCGAGCGAACGGACGAGAAGCUCGCUUCUCUGAUGUUAGCGGCGGACGGGUGAGUAACACGUGGAUAACCUACCUAUAAGACUGGGAUAACUUCGGGAAACCGGAGCUAAUACCGGAUAAUAUUUUGAACCGCAUGGUUCAAAAGUGAAAGACGGUCUUGCUGUCACUUAUAGAUGGAUCCGCGCUGCAUUAGCUAGUUGGUAAGGUAACGGCUUACCAAGGCAACGAUGCAUAGCCGACCUGAGAGGGUGAUCGGCCACACUGGAACUGAGACACGGUCCAGACUCCUACGGGAGGCAGCAGUAGGGAAUCUUGCGCAAUGGGCGAAAGCCUGACGGAGCAACGCCGCGUGAGUGAUGAAGGUCUUCGGAUCGUAAAACUCUGUUAUUAGGGAAGAACAUAUGUGUAAGUAACUGUGCACAUCUUGACGGUACCUAAUCAGAAAGCCACGGCUAACUACGUG
RNAcentral lists this ribosomal RNA (497 nucleotides) under uncultured bacterium. Its description in RNAcentral is "partial 16S ribosomal RNA". It matches the Rfam family "Bacterial small subunit ribosomal RNA", at positions 28 to 507 of the family's 1533-position model. The record is from RNAcentral.